AGUCUCCUGAAGGAACGUUGAAGACGACGACGUUGAUAGGUCGGGUGUGUAAGCGCAGCGAUGCGUUGAGCUAACCGAUACUAAUGAACCGUGAGGCUUAACCUUACAACGCCGAAGGUGUUU
This 123-nucleotide ribosomal RNA is filed under the name Enterobacter cloacae. RNAcentral describes it as "partial 23S ribosomal RNA". The stretch from base 1 to 105 matches the Rfam family "Bacterial large subunit ribosomal RNA", at positions 2821 to 2925 of the family's 2925-position model. Lineage: Bacteria; Pseudomonadati; Pseudomonadota; Gammaproteobacteria; Enterobacterales; Enterobacteriaceae. RNAcentral also lists the same sequence under 4 other names. The record is from RNAcentral.